GACGAACGCUGGCGGCGUGGAUUAGGCAUGCAAGUCGAACGGUAGGAUACCUUCGGGUAUCUGAGAGUGGCGAACGGGUGAGUAACACGUAGGUGAUCUACCCUCAAGAUUGGGACAACCCAGGGGAAACUUGGGCUAAUACCGGAUGAAAGCAGCAGUGAUGUUGUUUGAAAGGUGGCGUAAGCUGCCGUUUGGGGGAUGAGCCUGCGCUCUAUUAGUUAGUUGGCGGGGUAAAGGCCCACCAAGGCGAUGAUAGAUAGGCGGCCUUAACGGGUGGUCGCCCACACUGGGAUUGAGAUACGGCCCAGACUCCUACGGGAGGCAGCAGUCGAGAAUAGUCUACAAUGGCCGAAAGGCUGAUAGUGCGACGCCGCGUGAACGAAGAAGCCCUUCGGGGUGUAAAGUUCCUUUAUAUGUGAGCAGUGCUUUCUAUGUGAACAGCAUGGGGAGAGAGAUAUUAGCAUAUGAAUAAGCAACGGCUAACUCCGUG
Molecule: ribosomal RNA, 490 nt
Filed under: uncultured bacterium
Lineage: Bacteria
Description: bacterial SSU rRNA
Rfam family: Bacterial small subunit ribosomal RNA
Source: RNAcentral